ACCACUAGAGCUAAGAAUAAUAUUAAUAAAUAAAUAAGGCAUUUGUUAUUGGUUUUUGAAGUGAUAAUUUUCUUGGCUUCGCUCCUCUUUAACGCAACCAUUUGUUUAGUUCCUUUUAACUUUUCUAAAUGCAUAAUACUAUAGCCAUGAGUUGCAUGGGCCAUUCUUGUUUAUUCUCUGAUCACCAGAAAACACCUUCCUCAUCAUUCCAUUCUUACUGUACAUGAAGAAAUCCAAAAGUUCUUAUAUAUUGCCAUCUUUAUCCUCCUACCUAUGAGAAUAGGUUUGCCCCUUAUCCAACAGUACCCCACCCCCUAACCAAAAAAAAAUUCGUUCGCCCUUAAUCAGAAGAUCAAUAUGCCCCUAAGCGAAAAGAGAUCAAUUAUUUGUGGAUGCUUGUUAUUCAUCUUAUGCAUUCAAGUCCUGUCAAGCUUGGGUUUGGAAAGCUUUUCCACAUUAGAGAAUGAAGGUUCCAAGCUCUCAAAGCGCUUCAUGCAAGACCGAGAAGUUCAUGCAAGAGUCGAUGGUGAUUUGAAUGGAAACUGUGAUGAGAAAGGUUACAUUCGAAAGCAAAAAAUAUAUGAGUCGGAAAAGUCGCAGAGAGGGAAGGGAUCUUAUGGUGGUGGAAACAUUGCUCAUCGACCACGCCCCACGACAAGAAGUGCAGCAUCGUUGUUAGCAAAGCCCCCAAUUUUCAUCUCUACCUUAAUUUGUUUUAUCAUAAGCUUCGCUUUGAUGAUCCAUAUUUUUCCCUUCCCAUUACUCUAGGUAUAAAUAUGGAUAUGAAGUUCGAUAUGUUGCUACGGAUUCUAUUUCCUUUCCCCUAUUUCACAUCUUCCUUCCCCCUAAAUAAAAAAAUAAAAAAUUUCUCCUUUCUUCUUUU
Long non-coding RNA from Quercus robur (English oak), 883 nucleotides. RefSeq lists it as uncharacterized. The transcript is spliced from 2 exons. The record is from RefSeq and is a predicted model, not a curated record. NCBI's taxonomy places the organism in Eukaryota, Viridiplantae, Streptophyta, Magnoliopsida, Fagales, Fagaceae.